CCGGCUGCCGCGGAGGCAGGCGGCGAGAUGGGCGCGCUGUUUGCAUUCGCCCGCAGUCAUUUUUAUCCGCGGAGGGUUACAAAGCCCCAAACAGAUCUACCCGCUGAGGCGGCUGAGAAAAGGCGGUUCGGCAGGUGCAGCGCUGUCAGGAGAUGAGACGGCAAGCUAGACACACAUCUGCUUUGAGACAGGAAUUACACUGGAGAACUUCAUUACCCACACUGCAUCCACUGAGUUCAUAGCACCUCCUGGAAUGAACCAUGGUCUCCUAAGGGCGGUUUUGUUUGAUGGU
Long non-coding RNA from Balaenoptera acutorostrata (minke whale), 292 nucleotides. RefSeq lists it as uncharacterized. The transcript has 3 exons. Lineage: Eukaryota; Metazoa; Chordata; Mammalia; Artiodactyla; Balaenopteridae. The record is from RefSeq and is a predicted model, not a curated record.